This 200-nucleotide ribosomal RNA is filed under the name uncultured bacterium. RNAcentral's name for it is "partial 16S ribosomal RNA". It matches the Rfam family "Bacterial small subunit ribosomal RNA", at positions 8 to 204 of the family's 1533-position model. The record is from RNAcentral.
AGAGUUUGAUCCUGGCUCAGAGCGAACGCUGGCGGCGUGCCUAACACAUGCAAGUCGAACGUGAACGGGGGCAACCCCUAGUAAAGUGGCGUACGGGUGAAUAACGCGUAGGUAAUCUACCCCAGAGUCUGGAAUAACCGGCCGAAAGGCUGGCUAAUACUGGAUAGAGCGACGGAAUCCGUAAUUGGGUUUUUCGGGAA